Ostrea edulis (European flat oyster) is the source of this 494-nucleotide long non-coding RNA. RefSeq lists it as uncharacterized. The transcript has 2 exons. NCBI's taxonomy places the organism in Eukaryota, Metazoa, Mollusca, Bivalvia, Ostreida, Ostreidae. The record is from RefSeq and is a predicted model, not a curated record.
CUCCACCCUCCUAACUAGAUGCUUGCCUAUCAAUAUGACUAACCAUAGCACUGCUGUUAUUGAGAAGAAGAUUUUUACAGAUAUUAAAUAUUUGCUCUAUAGUCUCAAUAUACCUGGCGAAUUGCCAAUAUGAAGCUAAAGUGACCAGGGUUAAAAUGUAAAUAUGUUAAAAGAGUAUUUUAUAGAAUUUAAAUAGUUUCAUUGUUAUUGAUAUCUGUAUUAAUAUAGGGAGGUGACCAUUCUACAUUGAUCCAGUGCCUUUUUAUGGGAUUCGAAACUGUGACUGUGAGAUGUAUGAGAGUUUGACUUCUAGGCGGGCAAUUCUACUUUCACUUUAAACGGAUGGCAGGUGCCUGAGUGUAUCUCGACCCAUUUCCAGGCUAGCAUCAGAUGUCAUGAUGGACCUUUAAAAUCUUUCACAUGUGUACUUUCAAGAACCAUAUACAUUAUUUUUGAAAAUUGGUUGCCAUGGUAAUAAAAUCUGAAAAUUAAAA